RNAcentral lists this transfer RNA (74 nucleotides) under Ruminococcus sp. RNAcentral describes it as "tRNA-Gly". It matches the Rfam family "tRNA". From Rfam's summary of the family: Transfer RNA (tRNA) molecules are approximately 80 nucleotides in length. The record is from RNAcentral. RNAcentral also lists the same sequence under 6 other names. Lineage: Bacteria; Bacillati; Bacillota; Clostridia; Eubacteriales; Oscillospiraceae.
GCGGAUAUAGUUUAUCGGUAAAACAUUAGCUUCCCAAGCUGAGGUGGUGGGUUCGACUCCCAUUAUCCGCUCCA